UGGGGGAUAUUGCACAAUGGGCGAAAGCCUGAUGCAGCGACGCCGCGUGGGGGAUGAAGGCCUUCGGGUUGUAAACUUCUUUUGCUCUGAACAAGGCAUGCUAAUGGGUGUGUUGAGUGUAGGGGUUGAUUAGCGCCGGUUAACUACGUGCCAGCAGCCGCGGUAAUACGUAGGGCGCGAGCGUUGUCCGGAAUUAUUGGGCGUAAAGGGCUUGUAGGUGGCUGGUUGCGUCUGUCGUGAAAGCUCAUGGCUUAACUGUGGGUUUGCGGUGGGUACGGGCUGGCUUGAGUGCAGUAGGGGAGGCUGGAAUUCCUGGUGUAGCGGUGGAAUGCGCAGAUAUCAGGAGGAAUACCGGUGGCGAAGGCGGGUCUCUGGGCUGUUACUGACACUGAGGAGCGAAAGCAUGGGGAGCGAACAGG
This 419-nucleotide ribosomal RNA is filed under the name bacterium. RNAcentral's name for it is "partial 16S ribosomal RNA". It matches the Rfam family "Bacterial small subunit ribosomal RNA", at positions 355 to 776 of the family's 1533-position model. The record is from RNAcentral.